This is a long non-coding RNA of Arvicola amphibius (Eurasian water vole), 2239 nucleotides long. RefSeq lists it as uncharacterized. The transcript has 4 exons. Lineage: Eukaryota; Metazoa; Chordata; Mammalia; Rodentia; Cricetidae. The record is from RefSeq and is a predicted model, not a curated record.
AAAGUCUGAACCGUUGACUGGCCGGCCUGUCAGGAAAUGUUUGACCACUCUUGCCGUGGAGCUUUAGGAAAAGGUGCAUUUGGCCCUGCCCCACGACCUCCCUGAGGUUUUCCUGGCUCCUUGCAGAUGACUCUCAUUUGCUUGAAAAUCUGUUUUGAGCUUUUUUUCAUGCCAGGCAACAUGUCAGGUCUGAGGGCUACAGCUGUGGAAAGUCAUAGACAGAUCCUGUCACCGGAGCUCAGGGGCCAGCAGAAGAGCAGGAAUCAAUUAGCAUUAAAGAAAUGCUAGCAUUGCUUGGCCUUGCAUCACAGACCAGGAUCCCUGCCACUGAGGCAGGAGAAUUACAACUUCAAUUGCAAGUUGUCUGGGCACCUCAGGGAGACUCCCUCUCAAAAUAACAGACUUUGAAUACAGCAUUGUGACUCACUGAGAACAGUCUAAUCUGCUUUACGUUGAGCCCGCUCGGUGUCCAGCUCUACCUCGCUGUAAAAACAAGCAAAUGUGAGCGCUUGUCUCUUCAUCGAGUGCAGGCUGAUGGGAACCAGGACCCAGUCAUUAAAGACCUGGAUGUUUUGCCUCAUCAGAAGAAGUUUGAUGAUGGGAUUCAGCUAAUUUCCGGAGCUGGAGGGAAGACUCAGAAACAACACGUGCGUAUGUGCAGGCUGUGCACACGCAACACGGAGAAGACCGACCGUAGUAACACCGCCUCAAGACAGGGUUUCAACAUCAUCUUUCCAAGAAGAAAAUGUCAUUCACAUUUCCACCCGGACUCAGCGUCCUCCAACAAGGUCUUUCCGACAUGUGUGUCACUACCUGGUUCUUAUAAACAUCCCCUUGAAGAGGGGGAAGGUCAUCCUAACGUCCAUCGGCAAAAGCAAGAGGGCUUUAGUGAAGCCUGUCUCAUUGGUGAUAUAUUUUAGAAACCUCCCAGUAACGGGCCUUUUUGUUACUCAAGUAAAAUGUUUUUGGAACAUGGAGACACAAAAUAAAAUACAUACUCUCUGGAUAUGUUCACACACGAAAUUUCUGGACUUGAGAGAGCAGUAAUAUUUUGCUAAAAGUCACUGUGGAGAGGGUCAACAGGGCAGAUAACAGAGAGACAGGUCCCUGCUGAGGUGGAAUUUCCACACAGCCUCACCCCUGUUUGUCCCUAAAUAUACCCUGUUGUUACUUGGCCUGGAAAUUUUAGAUGUAACCACACUGGGGGAUCAGCUUUGCUUUCCCAAAGUCAAAAGCAUCACGAAGAAUGGUAUCACCAUUCAAUAUCAUGAAAGAAUCAUGAAGAGUGUCAUUGUAAUUAAGCCAAUAAUUGUAAUGUUCCUCAGACGCUGCAGUACAAUAUAAAAGCAUGGAGGUGGAAGACAGAGGUGGAAAAAGAAGUACAGAGAAUUAUAGACAAGAGUUAAAUGUUGAUGAAUAGAGAUUGGUACUGUCCAGCUCAGAUGUCCUCCAGGAAGAAAGAAAGUACUUCCUGAAGGCAUAGGGAGACUAGGAAAGAACAAAAAACCCCCUAAGUAGAGGGGCCAUCACAAGUUUCUGAGCACCUCUGAGCUACAUCAGGAGAGGGUGAGGGAAUAGACAAAUCCACACUCUCGGGCAGUACCCCUGAAUCACAAAUCCCUUCUCCUGCUGUCCCCAUAACCCUUGAAUGUCCAGGAACCACAUCGAAACAGUGGCAUUUCUGGGAUUGGGAAGGUAGCUAAAUUUGUAGAGUGUUUGCCUAGUCUGGAGGAGUCCCAGGAUUCACUUCCUGACACUGCAUAAAACUAGGUUUGGUGGUACAAGCCUAUAAUCCCAGCCUUGUAAAAUGAAGGUAGGAGACUCAGAAGUUCAAGCUCGUGCUCAGCUCUCUAGUGAACUCAAGGCCAACCUGGAUUACAUCAGACCCUGUCUCAGACAAAUCAGCAACAAGACAAACAAAGGUGGAAUUUGUUUCUCCAGUCUGAAGUACCAGAUCUGGCUAACAUGCCAGGUGACAAGAGAUAGAGGCAGGACAGAGAACUCAAAGACAUGAGCAGAAUUGUACCUGCUCUUCCAAGCAUUUUGUCUGUCAUGGGGUAAUCUGUGGUACUCUGUCAUUGUUCCUUUUAAGUGUAGGUCUAUCUUUGAGAUAUUUAAUUUAUGCAACUUGUAUUACUAUGGCUUUGUUGUAUAUUUUAAUAUCCAAAAGGGCCCUUAAUUUUCCUUGUGUUUUCUUUUUAAUAUUGACUUGGCUAUUGUGAUAAAGGCUUUUGCUGAA